GUGUCAGCCGCCGCGGUAAUACGUAGGCAGCUAGCGUUGUUCGGAAUUACUGGGCGUAAAGCGAGUGUAGGCGGUUUGCCAAGUCCGUUGUGAAAUCUCCCGGCUCAACUGGGAGGGUGCGGCGGAAACUGGCAGGCUAGAGUGCGGAAUGGGAGAGUGGAAUUCCUGGUGUAGCGGUGAAAUGCGUAGAUAUCAGGAGGAACACCGGUGGUGAAGACGGCUCUCUGGACCGCUACUGACGCUGAGACUCGAAAGCGUGGGGAGCAAACAGGAUUAGAUACCCUCGUAGUCC
RNAcentral lists this ribosomal RNA (292 nucleotides) under uncultured bacterium. Its description in RNAcentral is "partial 16S ribosomal RNA". It matches the Rfam family "Bacterial small subunit ribosomal RNA", at positions 505 to 796 of the family's 1533-position model. The record is from RNAcentral.